RNAcentral lists this ribosomal RNA (301 nucleotides) under uncultured bacterium. RNAcentral's name for it is "partial 16S ribosomal RNA". It matches the Rfam family "Bacterial small subunit ribosomal RNA", at positions 509 to 809 of the family's 1533-position model. The record is from RNAcentral.
CAGCCGCCGCGGUAAUACGUAGGGUGCAAGCGUUAAUCGGAAUUACUGGGCGUAAAGCGUGCGCAGGCGGUUAUAUAAGUCAGAUGUGAAAUCCCCGGGCUCAACCUGGGAACUGCAUUUGAGACUGUAUGGCUAGAGUGUGUCAGAGGGGGGUAGAAUUCCACGUGUAGCAGUGAAAUGCGUAGAUAUGUGGAGGAAUACCGAUGGCGAAGGCAGCCCCCUGGGAUAACACUGACGCUCAUGCACGAAAGCGUGGGGAGCAAACAGGAUUAGAGACCCGCGUAGUCCCUGUCUCUUAUAA